This 253-nucleotide ribosomal RNA is filed under the name uncultured bacterium. Its description in RNAcentral is "partial 16S ribosomal RNA". It matches the Rfam family "Bacterial small subunit ribosomal RNA", at positions 524 to 776 of the family's 1533-position model. The record is from RNAcentral.
UACGAAGGGGGCUAGCGUUGCUCGGAAUCACUGGGCGUAAAGCGCACGUAGGCGGAUUGCUAAGUCAGGGGUGAAAUCCUGGAGCUCAACUCCAGAACUGCCUUUGAUACUGGCGGUCUCGAGUCCGGGAGAGGUGAGUGGAACUGCGAGUGUAGAGGUGAAAUUCGUAGAUAUUCGGAAGAACACCAGUGGCGAAGGCGGCUCACUGGUCCGGUACUGACGCUGAUGUGCGAAAGCGUGGGGAGCAAACAGG